Long non-coding RNA from Dromaius novaehollandiae (emu), 1280 nucleotides. RefSeq lists it as uncharacterized. The record is from RefSeq and is a predicted model, not a curated record. The transcript is spliced from 5 exons. NCBI's taxonomy places the organism in Eukaryota, Metazoa, Chordata, Aves, Casuariiformes, Dromaiidae.
CGUGUGAUAUGACAUUAGAGGAGAAUGUCACUUGUUCUCCUUCCGUGGAGGGUAUGAACGUCUCCAGGAAAAGAAGGGAUUGUCGUGGGCCGGAAGGGACCAUCGUGCUAUGGCACGUGGCAGCCCUGGAUACAGGUGGAGUCCAGCAGAACAAGGACACCAAAGACCUGCUUCUCUGCCCUGUGUCACUUGCGGUGCUCCGUCGUGAUGUGCUCUGCUGUACAGCCUGAAUGUGGCCUGUGCCGACAUGGACAGCACCCUCGUGUGGAACACCCAAGUCCACGCGCACCUAGUCUUAGCUAUCUUGGCAUCACCGACCGCCAAACAUCAACGACUGUACUGAUAAGCCUGCAGCUGGAUGCCGUGCCAGUGUCAGUUGUGGCGACGUGACUGCUCCUGCGGAAUGUGACACAUGGUGUUGGACAAAGCUGCUGGGGACUACAGCCUGACUAGCCCUCCUUCCCUCCCUCCAACAAAACUGUUCCAGAUUAAGUAUUGUAAGAGAAGUGCUGCUGGAACCUCUUCUGACCGUACUCCAGAUUGCGGAACAUCGUCACCAUCUUUGGUUUUACUGCUGCGGAGUUUGAGUGGCCGGCAGAGGUGUUCCUGCUGUGCAGAAGGUUCCUGAGGAGGCGUCUCAAGGAGUGCUGAGCCCUCACUGAGUGGCCCUCAAAGAAGACACCGGUAGAGUCUAAAAGUUUAUAGUUUUCCCAGGAACAUCUCCCUUUCCCUAUGACGCUGUCCUGCUGUCUCUACCAUCCAUUACCUGAUCCUACUGUGCAGCAGUUCCUUUCCCAGGAGAAGGGGCCAGCCAUGCAGCUUGACAAGGGCCCCUGUGUAGGACUGGCCAAGGAGAACCACUUCCUGGUCACUGUUCAUAUAAAGAGACAUUCCCAGCACAGGGGACGGAGCUCAGGAGGAAAUUAGAGCACUUCCAGGACAACAGUUACCAAGAGUGCCUGAGAAAACGAAUGUCAUGCCCUUUGCCCACAUGGGGACAGAACUGCACGGUCUUCAUGCUCUCACAUUGCACCUGUGGCCUGAAAGGACAUUUGCAAGCAACUAGGGGAUUCUGGCAGGGAAACUUCCAUGAGAAAACUCUCCUUGAAAUUCCGCAUACAUCCUGGAAACUCCCUUUGAUGCCUCCUCUUGUAAUCCAGCCUGCUCUCCAGUCCCCAGGACAGUGGACAGAGCUUCUGAAGACACUACCUUGGAUUGAUGCCUGUCUUGCUGAUGAUGUGCAGAAUCCUGCUGCUUCCCACGGGUGUCUGGAGGAUGGU